UUACCCUAAAUAUCUAUUUUCUGCCCCAGAAAUAAGACUUUUAUAGAACAUUUUACCUUUCCAUAACUUCCAUCACCAAAAUUGGCAAUUUAAAAUAUUUUCAUGAAGAAAAACCAUAUUGAUAUGUGUGUAUUAUUAGCAAGAAAGCCAAAUUUAGAUUUAUGUGACUGAGAGUCUUUUCACUCAUUAGUGAUGUAAUUGACUUCUCCACACCAUCCUAGACGAGAAGAAACUCAUGUUCAUAUAUCAACAAAAUGACACAUCAUUACACAUUAACUCACUGUGGUGGGUUCUGAUCAAGUGAAGCAGCAAAUGCUUAAUCUGUCUAUUGGCUUUCUAUUCUACCUGGUCUUAAAACUAGUAAGGUAGAGUUCCUGCCAUUUGAUAUAAGAAAAGGUUUUCAACGUUCUUCUGUCUCUCCCAACUAGAAUUCCCAAAUAUAUUUGUUGGUGGUUCUUCCAAUGUAGCCCAAGGAAAAUGUGUUUUAUUAGCUUGGUAUUUCAUUUGCGAAGACUGGCAUUUGUCUCUUAUUAGUAGAUACAGGAGACAUGAAGAACCCCUGAAUUCCUACAUAGCUGUCAAGAAGUAAGUGAACUGAUUUGACAGUUAUUCCAAUCACUCACUGGAAAAACAGUUUUUCUGAGAAUCAAGUACUGUUAACUCUGUUUCAAUCCUCAGAACAAUUCCUGCCAAACUUUUUAUGAGAGGUAAUGCCAUGAGAAAGCACAAUCUAUGAAAAUGAAUUGAAGUUACAAACCAGUCCACACCACAUGAUUUGCAUAGUACAAGCUUCAUUGAUGAUCACUAUCUACCAUACCUUAGAGAUGGGAUUUAGACAAUAUUCAUCUCUGGAGAUUGUAUGCUAAGGUCUGGCACAACUCUUUACACAGUGGUACUCAAAGCUAGCACUUGCAUUAGUAUUAUCUGAGAAUUAAAAAAUAAUAAGAAUAAAGCAAUGAAGUGAUAGAAUAACAUUCCUCUUUAUGUGAAAUUCCUGCUAAUAUAUUGUACAGCAUGUUGGGAUGGGGACCACACCUGCUUUUUACUCACCAUUAUUGCCCAACAAUGGAAUGGAAUGCAGUGCCUGACCCUACAUAUAUGUUGAAUAAAUGAACUGCUGUGAUCCUCCCACUGCAUCACCGCAAGUACCUUCAGACCCCAGAGCUGAUACAGACUGAUCUGGUUUGGCUGUGUCGUCACCCAAAUAUCGUCUUGAAUUGUAAUCCCCACGUCAAAGAAGGGACCUAAUGGGAGGUGACUGGAUCAUGAGGGCAGUUUCCCCCAGGCUGUUCUCAUGAUAAUGAGUGUGUUUCUUUUGACUGUAUUUUCAUCAGUCUCGUCAUUUUCCAUUUGUGCUGGGACUUUUGCCUGCGGAAGGUUUCCAAGUCUGGCUGCAAUUUGGUUACCUUGAAGAACUUCAAGCAGAGAGGCUUUUAGUGAAAAUACAGAGGAUGACUCGAGAGGAAUUGUGGUGCUUUCAGAGGCCAGAUGUCCAUCGAUCAAGAAUGACCUCAGGAAAUAGGAUGAAGAAAGCACAAACAAAUUUCCUCAGUGGGGAUUUCAUGCUAGGAUAACUUGGAGGCUCUUCUUCCCUUGCCUCUAUCCAUCCCCUGAUGUCAGUGGCCUGGCCAUGCUCUUCUCAUGGUAAUGGACAGACACACAGAAAGGCAAGUAUGCACAAGUGAAAUGGGUGACAGUGCCCUGUUUCUCUGUAAAAUGAAAAAGGACAGUUAGAAAAGGAGAAGUCCAAAAGGAAAACCAGAAGGACACCUAUAAUACAAAAGCUCUCAGAUAAUAUCAUUGUAAGAAGAACAGACAUGAGAAUUAAGAAUGUGGAAUGAAUCUGUUAACCUCAUCAUACCUGGGUACUGCUGAAAAUAAUUUGUGUACUCCCCAGAACUUCUCAGAACUGAUCUAAACACUUAAAUAGUAUGGAUUUUAUGUUAGUAAUUGAUAAUAACGAUCUUAACAAAUUUUGCACUGGUGAUACCUGUGUAUACAGCAUGGCUAUAGAGUCUUGACAUAUGUAUCAUUACAUUUUUUAAAUGUAUUUACAGCUUGAUUUUGUAGACUAGAACCCCUUUGCUUACAUUUAGUAAAAUAUGUCAAAAGGACAUAUUUAUGCAUUGAACAUCAGAGAGAAAAAUUAUCUGAAGCAACACACCAGAUACAUUUUCAGGU
Molecule: non-coding RNA, 2181 nt
Organism: Callithrix jacchus (white-tufted-ear marmoset)
Lineage: Eukaryota; Metazoa; Chordata; Mammalia; Primates; Cebidae
Source: RefSeq, a predicted model, not a curated record